This 89-nucleotide small nucleolar RNA is filed under the name Rhinolophus ferrumequinum (greater horseshoe bat). Its description in RNAcentral is "Small nucleolar RNA SNORD70 (ENSRFEG00010014980.1)". It matches the Rfam family "Small nucleolar RNA SNORD70". From Rfam's summary of the family: snoRNA HBII-234 belongs to the C/D family of snoRNAs. The record is from Rfam by way of RNAcentral. Lineage: Eukaryota; Metazoa; Chordata; Mammalia; Chiroptera; Rhinolophidae.
UUCAUUGUUGUCAAUGAUGUAUUCUUGUUGGAACUGAAGCUAAGUGAUCGCACACAAAUAUUCGUCACUACCACUGAGACGGCAAUGAA